UACGGAGGGUGCAAGCGUUAUCCGGAAUUACUGGGUUUAAAGGGUGCGUAGGCGGCUAUGUAAGUCAGGAGUGAAAGUUUGCGGCUCAACCGUAAAAUUGCUUUUGAUACUGCAUGGCUGGAAUUAGGAUGAGGUCAGCGGAAUGUGGCAUGUAGCGGUGAAAUGCAUAGAUAUGCCAUAGAACACCAAUUGCGAAGGCAGCUGGCUAGACCUGGAUUGACGCUGAGGCACGAAAGCGUGGGGAGCGAACAGG
RNAcentral lists this ribosomal RNA (253 nucleotides) under uncultured bacterium. RNAcentral's name for it is "partial 16S ribosomal RNA". It matches the Rfam family "Bacterial small subunit ribosomal RNA", at positions 524 to 776 of the family's 1533-position model. The record is from RNAcentral.